AAUCAACGCUGGCGGCGUGCCUAACACAUGCAAGUCGAACGCGAAAGUCCCGCAAGGGAUGAGUAGAGUGGCAAACGGGUGAGUAACGCGUGGGUGACCUGCCUUCGAGCGGGGGAUAACGCUCCGAAAGGGACGCUAAUACCGCAUAACAUCCCGCCUUUGAACAGACGGAAAUCAAAGCUGGGGAUCGCAAGACCCAGCACUUGAAGAGGGGCCCGCGUCUGAUUAGCAGUUGGUGAGGUAACGGCUCACCAAGGCGACGAUCAGUAUCCGGCCUGAGAGGGCGGACGGACACACUGGGACUGAGACACGGCCCAGACUCCUACGGGAGGCAGCAGUGGGGAAUUGUUCGCAAUGGGCGCAAGCCUGACGACGCAACGCCGCGUGGAGGAUGAAGACCUU
This 402-nucleotide ribosomal RNA is filed under the name uncultured bacterium. RNAcentral describes it as "bacterial SSU rRNA". It matches the Rfam family "Bacterial small subunit ribosomal RNA", at positions 29 to 418 of the family's 1533-position model. The record is from RNAcentral.